This 597-nucleotide long non-coding RNA is filed under the name Pan troglodytes (chimpanzee). RNAcentral describes it as "long non-coding RNA NONPTRT007679". The record is from RNAcentral. Lineage: Eukaryota; Metazoa; Chordata; Mammalia; Primates; Hominidae.
AGGCAGUAAAUAUCAAUAGAUAACAUGUAUAAAAAGUUCUUUGCAGUCUUCAGUCAUCUUUGAGGAUGUACAGAGGUCCUGAGACCAAAACAGUUGAGAACUAUUAAUCCAGAACACACAGCAGAAGGGCAAAUGAUACAAGAUGAGGCUGCAGAAAUGGAUGGGAGCAAACCAUGUGGCCAAGGGAAGAAUUCUGGUCUUUACCCAAGAGCAAUGUUGGAAUAGUCCACAGGUGUAGGAGGCUAGAAUUAUAGUCCCUUUCUCUGUACACAAUAGUUGUACAGAAUUAUUAAUUGUUCACCUUACUUUUCCACCACUUUGAUCCAUAAAUCUUCAUCACCUUAUAAUGAAUCUCAGAAUUGUUUUCAAAAUGAAUAACUUCCCUUACAUGAUCAGAUGCAUAUCUGAAUUGUACUUGCCUUUAAAACCCAAGUUUCUGCUUGAUUCAUGGAAAAUGUUUAUAGAUGAGCUUCUUUUGUCUUCCCCUCAUGAAGGCCUUCUCUGCUGCUUUAGAAAUCCUCUUUGUGCUCCCUCAUUGGCUCUUUUGUACCUCUGCCCUCUGAAGUUGUUGCAAACUUUAUCCAUUCUCAAACCCCU